RNAcentral lists this ribosomal RNA (460 nucleotides) under uncultured bacterium. Its description in RNAcentral is "partial 16S ribosomal RNA". It matches the Rfam family "Bacterial small subunit ribosomal RNA", at positions 338 to 795 of the family's 1533-position model. The record is from RNAcentral.
CCUACGGGAGGCAGCAGUGAGGAAUAUUGGUCAAUGGACGAGAGUCUGAACCAGCCAAGUAGCGUGAAGGAUGACUGCCCUAUGGGUUGUAAACUUCUUUUAUGUGGGAAUAAAACGUUCCACGUGUGGGAUUUUGUAUGUACCAUAUGAAUAAGGAUCGGCUAACUCCGUGCCAGCAGCCGCGGUAAUACGGAGGAUCCGAGCGUUAUCCGGAUUUAUUGGGUUUAAAGGGAGCGUAGGUGGAUGGUUAAGUCAGUUGUGAAAGUGUGCGGCUCAACCGUAAAAUUGCAGUUGAAACUGGCAGUCUUGAGUACAGUAGAGGUGGGCGGAAUUCGUGGUGUAGCGGUGAAAUGCUUAGAUAUCACGAAGAACUCCGAUUGCGAAGGCAGUUCACUGGACUGCAACUGACACUGAGGCUCGAAAGUGUGGGUAUCAAACAGGAUUAGAUACCCGGGUAGUC